UGGGGAAUUUUGGACAAUGGGCGAAAGCCUGAUCCAGCAAUGCCGCGUGUGUGAAGAAGGCCUUCGGGUUGUAAAGCACUUUUGUCCGGAAAGAAAUCCUUGGCUCUAAUACAGUCGGGGGAUGACGGUACCGGAAGAAUAAGCACCGGCUAACUACGUGCCAGCAGCCGCGGUAAUACGUAGGGUGCAAGCGUUAAUCGGAAUUACUGGGCGUAAAGCGUGCGCAGGCGGUUUGCUAAGACCGAUGUGAAAUCCCCGGGCUCAACCUGGGAACUGCAUUGGUGACUGGCAGGCUAGAGUAUGGCAGAGGGGGGUAGAAUUCCACGUGUAGCAGUGAAAUGCGUAGAGAUGUGGAGGAAUACCGAUGGCGAAGGCAGCCCCCUGGGCCAAUACUGACGCUCAUGCACGAAAGCGUGGGGAGCAAAACAGGAUUAGAUACCCUGGUGGUCCACGCCCUAAACGAUGUCAACUAGUUGUUGGGGAUUCAUUUCCUUAGUAACGUAGCUAACGCGUGAAGUUGACCGCCUGGGGAGUACGGUCG
RNAcentral lists this ribosomal RNA (541 nucleotides) under uncultured bacterium. Its description in RNAcentral is "partial 16S ribosomal RNA". It matches the Rfam family "Bacterial small subunit ribosomal RNA", at positions 355 to 888 of the family's 1533-position model. The record is from RNAcentral.